GCCCUAGUAACGGCGAGUGAAGCGGCAACAGCUCAAAUUUGAAAUCUGGCCCUAGGCCCGAGUUGUAAUUUGCAGAGGAUGCUUCGGGCGCGGUGCCUUCCAAGUCCCCUGGAACGGGGCGCCGGAGAGGGUGAGAGCCCCGUACGGUUGGCGGCCAAGCCUGUGUGAAGCUCCUUCGACGAGUCGAGUAGUUUGGGAAUGCUGCUCUAAGCGGGAGGUAGACCCCUUCUAAAGCUAAAUAUAGGCCAGAGACCGAUAGCGCACAAGUAGAGUGAUCGAAAGAUGAAAAGCACUUUGAAAAGAGGGUUAAAUAGCACGUGAAAUUGUUGAAAGGGAAGCGCUUGUGACCAGACGUGCGCCGGGGUGUUCAGCGGGCGUUCUCGCCCGUGCACUCGCCUCGGCGCAGGCCAGCGUCGGUUCGAGUGGGAGGAUAAAGGCGUCUGGAAUGUGGCUCCUCCGGGAGUGUUAUAGCCAGACGUGCCAUGCUCCCGCCCGGACCGAGGUACGCGUUCUGCAAGGACGCUGGCGUAAUGGUCUCCAGCGACCCGUCUUGAAACACGGACCAAGGAGUCGAGGUUUUGCGCGAGUGUUUGGGUGUUAAACCCGCACGCGUAAUGAAAGUGAACGUAGGUGGGAGCUUCGGCGCACCACCGACCGAUCCUGAUGUUUUCGGAUGGAUUUGAGUAAGAGCGUAGGGCCUCGGACCCGAAAGAUGGUGAACUAUGCUUGGAUAGGGUGAAGCCAGAGGAAACUCUGGUGGAGGCUCGCAGCGGUUCUGACGUGCAAAUCGAUCGUCAAAUCUGAGCAU
Molecule: ribosomal RNA, 808 nt
Filed under: Chloridium sp. KW-2019a
Lineage: Eukaryota; Fungi; Ascomycota; Sordariomycetes; Chaetosphaeriales; Chaetosphaeriaceae
Description: partial large subunit ribosomal RNA
Rfam family: Eukaryotic large subunit ribosomal RNA
Source: RNAcentral